AUGUGUCCUCACUUUUUUGGCUCUUUUGUUGUUCUUUGUUUAUUGGUGGUGGGUUCAUUAAUUAGUGCUAUAUGCCUCACGAGUUGUGGUAAAUUAUUAAGUGCAAUAGAUUGGGAAGCCACCAUCUUAAUUACUACUUAUAUACGAAAUGAAGAUGCAUGUAUUAAAUUACAUUUUGAGUAUGAUAAUCUGUCACUUAAAUAAUAUCUUGUUCAUUGUCAAAUAAUACCCUUUUUUUAAGAUGAAAUGAUUAUCUAAUACUAAAAAAUUUAUUUGUUUAGGUUUCAGACGCAUCUAACGCUCAUAAUAUUCAUCCACAACCUCAUUGCCCUUCAGGUUCAACAUCUUAAUUGCCGAGCUCACUACGACUGGAUCUGAUAUGAUAUUAUUAGAUUUUGUUUUCAUUUCUCUUUCUUUUGGGUUGAAAAGCUAGAAAUUGUUGGUACUGUAAUUUAGUGACUAAAUACUCGUUUAAAGAUAUAUGGAUAAUACCUUGAGACAUUUUGGUAUUAAUUAGUGUAACUACAAAACAUCUUUUAUA
Ananas comosus (pineapple) is the source of this 541-nucleotide long non-coding RNA. RefSeq lists it as uncharacterized. The transcript has 2 exons. The record is from RefSeq and is a predicted model, not a curated record. Lineage: Eukaryota; Viridiplantae; Streptophyta; Magnoliopsida; Poales; Bromeliaceae.